Long non-coding RNA from Cydia strobilella, 120 nucleotides. RefSeq lists it as uncharacterized. Lineage: Eukaryota; Metazoa; Arthropoda; Insecta; Lepidoptera; Tortricidae. The record is from RefSeq and is a predicted model, not a curated record. The transcript has 3 exons.
GCCAGACGCCUAUGACAUCGUUAAAAAGAGUUUAAAGGCUCGAAUGGACGCUGAAGAUAGUAGGAAGAGUCGAGGUAAUAUGAAGCCUAUUGCUCAUGACGUUGUCAAGCAAGCGUUAAA